GUUAUCCGGAAUUAUUGGGCGUAAAGCGCGCGUAGCGGUUUUUAAGUCUGAUGUGAAAGCCCCACGCUCAACGUGGAGGGUCAUUGGAAAACUGGGAAAACUUGAGUGCGGAAGAGGAAAGUGGAAUUCCAUGUGUAGCGGUGAAAUGCGCAGAGAUAUGGAGGAACACCAGUGGCGAAGGCGACUUUCUGGUCUGUAACUGACGCUGAUGUGCGAAAGCGUGGGGAUCAAACAGGAUUAGAUACCCUGGUAGUCAAGGGCG
This 262-nucleotide ribosomal RNA is filed under the name uncultured Staphylococcus sp. RNAcentral's name for it is "partial 16S ribosomal RNA". It matches the Rfam family "Bacterial small subunit ribosomal RNA", at positions 540 to 802 of the family's 1533-position model. Lineage: Bacteria; Bacillati; Bacillota; Bacilli; Caryophanales; Staphylococcaceae. The record is from RNAcentral.